This 603-nucleotide ribosomal RNA is filed under the name Marinobacter nauticus. RNAcentral describes it as "bacterial SSU rRNA". It matches the Rfam family "Bacterial small subunit ribosomal RNA", at positions 61 to 655 of the family's 1533-position model. Lineage: Bacteria; Pseudomonadati; Pseudomonadota; Gammaproteobacteria; Pseudomonadales; Marinobacteraceae. The record is from RNAcentral.
GUCGAGCGGUAACAGGGGUAGCUUGCUACCCGCUGACGAGCGGCGGACGGGUGAGUAAUGCUUAGGAAUCUGCCCAGUAGUGGGGGAUAGCCCGGGGAAACCCGGAUUAAUACCGCAUACGUCCUACGGGAGAAAGCAGGGGAUCUUCGGACCUUGCGCUAUUGGAUGAGCCUAAGUCGGAUUAGCUAGUUGGUGGGGUAAAGGCCUACCAAGGCGACGAUCCGUAGCUGGUCUGAGAGGAUGAUCAGCCACAUCGGGACUGAGACACGGCCCGAACUCCUACGGGAGGCAGCAGUGGGGAAUAUUGGACAAUGGGGGCAACCCUGAUCCAGCCAUGCCGCGUGUGUGAAGAAGGCUUUCGGGUUGUAAAGCACUUUCAGUAGGGAGGAAAACCUUAUGGCUAAUACCCAUGAGGCUUGACGUUACCUACAGAAGAAGCACCGGCUAACUCCGUGCCAGCAGCCGCGGUAAUACGGAGGGUGCAAGCGUUAAUCGGAAUUACUGGGCGUAAAGCGCGCGUAGGUGGUUUGGUAAGCGAGAUGUGAAAGCCCCGGGCUUAACCUGGGAACGGCAUUUCGAACUGUCAGACUAGAGUGUGGUAGA